UGCUUCGAGCGGAUAGUUAAU
RNAcentral lists this non-coding RNA (21 nucleotides) under Caenorhabditis elegans. The record is from RNAcentral. Lineage: Eukaryota; Metazoa; Nematoda; Chromadorea; Rhabditida; Rhabditidae.